Long non-coding RNA from Struthio camelus australis, 913 nucleotides. Lineage: Eukaryota; Metazoa; Chordata; Aves; Struthioniformes; Struthionidae. The record is from Ensembl.
CUCCCUCCCUUACGAGGCAGCGGCAUCGUCCUCCCCCCUUCUCCGCCACCUCCUCCUCCGGCGCGCAGCCCGCGACUCUGGCAUCCCCAACGCACUUUCUCUCCUCGAUCCGCUCGCUCUCUUCCCCCCGCCGCUCCUCCUUCUCCAGUAAAAAAUAAAUGAGAAGGGACGGCGGGUAUGCCUGGUCUUUUUUUCUCUUUCUUUCUUUUUUUUUUUUCUCUCUCUGUCCUCUGGAGUUGGUGAGAGGAUCACAUGAGGAGCAGGCACAGAGAACCAGGACCCUCAGAAGUCGGAGGAGGCAUCGGACACAUAUAUCUGCCAAUGGUCACCAUCACCCAAGGUUUCUCUCAAGGAAAAGAGGAAGGAAAUUUACUUUCCAAGCUGCUGUCCAGCUGCUCAUUUAGCCCUGACAACCCACUGAAGACACUGAAGAACGCCCAGCUAAAGUGGUUAAACGCCUGGAAAUGCAAGUGGAGGAGAAGUUCCUCCCCUCCAUUUUCAUUACUUGCAGCAGAUGACGUCAGUCUUCUACGACCUGUGCUAUGCAGGUUGAGGCUUCGUGUCUUCCCCACAGAGAAGGUGGCACAGCACGGAAAGAGGAAGAUAUGGUGUGUGGCACUUCUACAAAUCAACCUGCUAUGUGUUCAGAGCCUGGUCCAAGCCUUGGGUGCCCAGGAAACUCUUGAUCCAUCCUUGUGGACUUGCCAAAUGAGUCACUCUCGCCUGGUACAGAUAAAUAGGGUCUCCCUGUCUUCAUCAUCUCAGAGUCUCAUGUUGCCAUGUCGCAUGCAUGUGGAACAACCAUGAAAGGAAGGACAAUUAGCCUAGGAAGUCCAUCUAUAUCUACAGGAGUUAAAAACAGUUCUGUGGACAAAGGUAUUGAUCAAAGCAUGACUGAAUGAAGAGGUAAGGG